CGUUCUCAAUCUCUUCUCCCUUGAUCGGCACAGCCACAACCUCCUUCUCCAAUACUCUCUCCCUCGCCGCCGGCCACCUCCGCCUCCUCCCACGCGCCACCUCCGCCUCCUCCCACGCGCCACCUCCGCCUCCUCCCACGCGCCACCUCCGCGACAAACCACUGAAGGAGGGAGAGGACUCGCUCAUAUCGUCCGAUGGAGGAGGACUCGAUCAAGGGGAUGAUCUCCGCGAUAUCCUGGGUGCCCAGGGGCGCCGCCAAGAGCGUGCCCGUC
RNAcentral lists this long non-coding RNA (273 nucleotides) under Zea mays. Its description in RNAcentral is "long non-coding RNA (ZMAY_LNC001880)". The record is from RNAcentral. Lineage: Eukaryota; Viridiplantae; Streptophyta; Magnoliopsida; Poales; Poaceae.